AUUGAACGCUGGCGGCGUGCUUAACACAUGCAAGUCGAUCGGUAACAGGUGUAGCAAUACAUGCUGACGAGAGGCGGACGGGUGAGUAAUGCUUGGGAAUCUGCCUAUUAGUGGGGGACAACCCGGGGAAACUCGGGCUAAUACCGCAUACGCUCUACGGAGGAAAGCCGGGGACCGCAAGGCCUGGCGCUAAUAGAUGAGCCCAAGUCGGAUUAGCUAGUUGGA
RNAcentral lists this ribosomal RNA (225 nucleotides) under uncultured bacterium. Its description in RNAcentral is "partial 16S ribosomal RNA". It matches the Rfam family "Bacterial small subunit ribosomal RNA", at positions 30 to 253 of the family's 1533-position model. The record is from RNAcentral.